CAUAAACCAUGAGAUCAUGACCUGAGCCGAAGUCAGACGCCCAACCGACCGAGCCACCCAGGAGGCUUUAUACCCAGGGCAGAGCCCGAUCGGGCUUCAGCUCACGACCCCGAGAUUAAGACCUGAGCUGAGAU
Long non-coding RNA from Felis catus (domestic cat), 134 nucleotides. RefSeq lists it as uncharacterized. The record is from RefSeq and is a predicted model, not a curated record. The transcript has 2 exons. Lineage: Eukaryota; Metazoa; Chordata; Mammalia; Carnivora; Felidae.